AUGAUGAGUCCUGCACAGUUCCUGUUUCUGCUAAUGCUCUGGAUUCAGGAAUCCAGUGGUGACGUUGUGAUGACCCAGACUCCAACGUCUUUGUCGGUUACCAUUGGACAACCAGCCUCCAUCUCUUGCAAGUCAAGUCGCAGCCUCUUAGAUAGUGAUGGAAAGACAUAUUUGAAUUGGUUAUUACAGAGGCCAGGCCAGUCUCCAAAGCUCCUAAUCUCUCUUGUGUCCAGAUUAUUCUCUGGAGUCCCUGACAGGUUCAGUGGCAGUGGGUCAGAGACAGAUUUUACACUUAAAAUCAGCAGCGUGGAGGCUGAGGAUUUGGGAGUUUAUUACUGCUGGCAAGGUACAUAUAUUCCUCGCACAGUGAUACAGACCCUAACAAAAACUUCCUUGCCUGGGGCAGCCCAGCUGGCAAUGUGCUGCUGGACUGGAGAGGAGGAGAGCAUCCUGUGUCUGUGUGAGAGGGAGGGGCUGUGGUACUUGAGUAAUUGUUUGCAGCUGAGAGCUCUGGCUAGACUCAUCUGGCUGGAUGAGUGA
Mus pahari (shrew mouse) is the source of this 540-nucleotide non-coding RNA. Lineage: Eukaryota; Metazoa; Chordata; Mammalia; Rodentia; Muridae. The record is from the annotation of a RefSeq genome assembly.